This 353-nucleotide transfer-messenger RNA is filed under the name Anaerovoracaceae. Its description in RNAcentral is "RUG099 sp900315485 Standard tmRNA". It matches the Rfam family "transfer-messenger RNA". From Rfam's summary of the family: Bacterial tmRNA, also known as 10Sa RNA or SsrA, is named for its dual tRNA and mRNA-like properties. Its role is to liberate the mRNA from a stalled ribosome. RNAcentral also lists the same sequence under 4 other names. The record is from RNAcentral. Lineage: Bacteria; Bacillati; Bacillota; Clostridia; Peptostreptococcales.
GGGGACGUACUGGUUUCGACAGGUGCGUGGAACGAGGAUAAGCGAGCUGUGGUGGUGAUCCACGUAAAAAGUACCCGUUAAAAAGAAACGCUAAAACAAACAACAAUUUCGCACUGGCUGCAUAGUUCAGCCCCGCGUGUCGGCCUGAGUUCGUCUGCAGGCACAGGAUCCGGCAUCAUUUAUGCAGAAAAACUCUUGCGUGACCGCCCGGCAUCGUAAGAGUAUCUACGGGAUAGCAUGAUGUGAGUCUGCCGUGUGACGCUCAUCAUGUAAAAUCAAAUACCCGGCUGCGCUCGGAGAAAGUCUUCCGGAAAUACUCUUGGACGUGGGUUCGACUCCCACCGUCUCCACCA